ACUCCUACGGGAGGCAGCAGUGGGGAAUUUUGGACAAUGGGCGAAAGCCUGAUCCAGCAAUGCCGCGUGUGUGAAGAAGGCCUUCGGGUUGUAAAGCACUUUUGUCCGGAAAGAAAU
Molecule: ribosomal RNA, 117 nt
Filed under: uncultured Ralstonia sp.
Lineage: Bacteria; Pseudomonadati; Pseudomonadota; Betaproteobacteria; Burkholderiales; Burkholderiaceae
Description: partial 16S ribosomal RNA
Rfam family: Bacterial small subunit ribosomal RNA
Source: RNAcentral